RNAcentral lists this small nuclear RNA (18 nucleotides) under Arabidopsis thaliana (thale cress). RNAcentral's name for it is "snRNA_12578". The record is from RNAcentral. Lineage: Eukaryota; Viridiplantae; Streptophyta; Magnoliopsida; Brassicales; Brassicaceae.
GGCGGGAUCCCUCGCGGG